Molecule: long non-coding RNA, 321 nt
Organism: Xenia sp. Carnegie-2017
Lineage: Eukaryota; Metazoa; Cnidaria; Anthozoa; Malacalcyonacea; Xeniidae
Exons: 4
Source: RefSeq, a predicted model, not a curated record
GACAAUAUGAAUAUCUAUAAUAUGGCCAAGUUUAAAAAAUUCUACUGUGUAGUUUUUUUUCUGUUCUGUUAGGAAUGAAAGAGGAUGGAUGAAAGAGGAAGAAAAUCAAGGCAGGAUUUGAAUGAAAGAGGAUGGAUGAAAGAGGAAGAAAAUCAAGGCAGGAUUUGAAUGAAAGAAGAUUAAACAGUAAGAAAAACAUGAAUGAAAGAUGAUGGACUAAAGAGGAAGAAAAAAAGGGAGGUUUUGUUAGUUUUUCACAAAAUAUUUAUUGGCUUUAAAUUAGAAAAUUUUACCUUAAUAAGAAUCAAACUUCCCAAUUAA